This 405-nucleotide ribosomal RNA is filed under the name Rhizobium leguminosarum. Its description in RNAcentral is "bacterial SSU rRNA". It matches the Rfam family "Bacterial small subunit ribosomal RNA", at positions 20 to 455 of the family's 1533-position model. The record is from RNAcentral. Lineage: Bacteria; Pseudomonadati; Pseudomonadota; Alphaproteobacteria; Hyphomicrobiales; Rhizobiaceae.
UGGCUCAGAACGAACGCUGGCGGCAGGCUUAACACAUGCAAGUCGAGCGCCCCGCAAGGGGAGCGGCAGACGGGUGAGUAACGCGUGGGAAUCUACCCUUGACUACGGAAUAACGCAGGGAAACUUGUGCUAAUACCGUAUGUGUCCUUCGGGAGAAAGAUUUAUCGGUCAAGGAUGAGCCCGCGUUGGAUUAGCUAGUUGGUGGGGUAAAGGCCUACCAAGGCGACGAUCCAUAGCUGGUCUGAGAGGAUGAUCAGCCACAUUGGGACUGAGACACGGCCCAAACUCCUACGGGAGGCAGCAGUGGGGAAUAUUGGACAAUGGGCGCAAGCCUGAUCCAGCCAUGCCGCGUGAGUGAUGAAGGCCCUAGGGUUGUAAAGCUCUUUCACCGGAGAAGAUAAUGAC